AACCAGCUUUUUAAAAAGAAUGUGAAGGUGGUGAGGCCCUGGCACAGGUUGCCCAGAGAAGCUGUGCCUGCUGCAUCCCUGACAGUGUUCAAGACCCUGUUUUAUGAGGCUUGGAGCAACCUGGUCUAGUGGAAGGUGUCCCUGCCCAUGGCAGGGGGUUGGAACUAGAUGGACUUUAAGGUCCUUCCAACCC
Molecule: long non-coding RNA, 193 nt
Organism: Chiroxiphia lanceolata (lance-tailed manakin)
Lineage: Eukaryota; Metazoa; Chordata; Aves; Passeriformes; Pipridae
Exons: 4
Source: RefSeq, a predicted model, not a curated record